UACGUAGGGGGCAAGCGUUGUCCGGAUUCAUUGGGCGUAAAGCGCGUGUAGGCGGCCUGGUAGGUCUGCUGUGAAACCUCGAGGCUCAACCUCGAGAGGUCGGCGGAAACCACCUGGCUAGAGUCCGGAAGAGGAGAAUGGAAUUCCCGGUGUAGCGGUGAAAUGCGCAGAUAUCAGGAGGAACACCGGUGGCGAAGGCGGUUCUCUGGGCCUUACCUGACGCUGAGGAGCGAAAGCAUGGGGAGCAAACAGG
This 253-nucleotide ribosomal RNA is filed under the name uncultured bacterium. RNAcentral's name for it is "partial 16S ribosomal RNA". It matches the Rfam family "Bacterial small subunit ribosomal RNA", at positions 524 to 776 of the family's 1533-position model. The record is from RNAcentral.